This 393-nucleotide ribosomal RNA is filed under the name uncultured Acinetobacter sp. RNAcentral describes it as "bacterial SSU rRNA". It matches the Rfam family "Bacterial small subunit ribosomal RNA", at positions 992 to 1382 of the family's 1533-position model. The record is from RNAcentral. Lineage: Bacteria; Pseudomonadati; Pseudomonadota; Gammaproteobacteria; Moraxellales; Moraxellaceae.
GGUAAACGUUAAGGACGUUGGACCUUUCGGGAGCCCGGAGACGAGGUGCGUGCAGUGGCGUUGUCGUCAGCCCGUGUCGUGAGAUGUUGGGUUAAGUCCCGCAACGAGCGCAACCCUUUUCCUUACUUGCCAGCAUUUCGGAUGGGAACUUUAAGGAUACUGCCAGUGACAAACUGGAGGAAGGCGGGGACGACGUCAAGUCAUCAUGGCCCUUACGGCCAGGGCUACACACGUGCUACAAUGGUCGGUACAAAGGGUUGCUACACAGCGAUGUGAUGCUAAUCUCAAAAAGCCGAUCGUAGUCCGGAUUGGAGUCUGCAACUCGACUCCAUGAAGUCGGAAUCGCUAGUAAUCGCGGAUCAGAAUGCCGCGGUGAAUACGUUCCCGGGCCUU